Molecule: small nuclear RNA, 355 nt
Filed under: Cebus imitator (Panamanian white-faced capuchin)
Lineage: Eukaryota; Metazoa; Chordata; Mammalia; Primates; Cebidae
Description: 7SK RNA (ENSCCAG00000009450.1)
Rfam family: 7SK RNA (bases 1-312)
About the family: 7SK was discovered as an abundant small nuclear RNA in the mid-70s but a possible function has only recently been suggested.
Source: RNAcentral
GGAUGUGAGGGUGGUCUGGUUGCAACAUCCGUCACCCCAUUGAUCGCCAGGGUUGAUUCAGCUAAUCUGGCUGGCUAGGUGGGUGUCCCCUUCCUCCCUCACUGAUCUAUGUGUGUCCUUCCAAAGCUGUGCGCUCAGUUGAAGACGACCAUCCCCGACAGACAAGGACCAGUCUUCGGUCAAGGACAUAUGAGUAGCUGCACUCCCCUGCUAGACCCUCCUAACGAGCUCUCAAGACUGCUGUCUGCCAAUCUGUAUCCAGAGUUGGAAAAAAGCAAGGAAAAAAAAAAGACUUGUCCCAGAGUGUUCCUUACCAAGUUAUAAAUUAGUUUUCAUUUGGAAAGGGAACAUUCUG